This 492-nucleotide ribosomal RNA is filed under the name uncultured bacterium. RNAcentral's name for it is "partial 16S ribosomal RNA". It matches the Rfam family "Bacterial small subunit ribosomal RNA", at positions 28 to 507 of the family's 1533-position model. The record is from RNAcentral.
GAUGAACGCUAGCUACAGGCUUAACACAUGCAAGUCGAGGGGAAACGACAUCGAAAGCUUGCUUUUGAUGGGCGUCGACCGGCGCACGGGUGAGUAACGCGUAUCCAACCUGCCCAUCACUUGGGAAUAACCUUGCGAAAGUAAGACUAAUACCCAAUGAUAUCCCACGAAGGCAUCGGAAUGGGAUUAAAGAUUUAUCGGUGAUGGAUGGGGAUGCGUCUGAUUAGCUUGUUGGCGGGGUAACGGCCCACCAAGGCAACGAUCAGUAGGGGUUCUGAGAGGAAGGUCCCCCACAUUGGAACUGAGACACGGUCCAAACUCCUACGGGAGGCAGCAGUGAGGAAUAUUGGUCAAUGGGCGAGAGCCUGAACCAGCCGAGUAGCGUGCAGGAAGACGGCCCUAUGGGUUGUAAACUGCUUUUAUAAGGGAAUAAAGUGGGUCACGUGUGACUUUUUGCAUGUACCUUAUGAAUAAGGACCGGCUAAUUCCGUG